Molecule: ribosomal RNA, 429 nt
Filed under: uncultured bacterium
Lineage: Bacteria
Description: bacterial SSU rRNA
Rfam family: Bacterial small subunit ribosomal RNA
Source: RNAcentral
UGGGGAAUUUUGGACAAUGGGGGCAACCCUGAUCCAGCCAUGCCGCGUGUGUGAAGAAGGCCUUCGGGUUGUAAAGCACUUUCGGCCGGAACGAAAUCGCGCGGGUGAAUACCCCGCGUGGAUGACGGUACCGGAAGAAGAAGCACCGGCUAACUACGUGCCAGCAGCCGCGGUAAUACGUAGGGUGCGAGCGUUAAUCGGAAUUACUGGGCGUAAAGUGUGCGCAGGUGGCCGCGCAUGUCGAGUGUGAAAUCCCCGGGCUUAACUUGGGAAUUGCGCUCGAAACUACGUGGCUAGAGUGUGGCAGAGGAAGGUGGAAUUCCACGUGUAGCGGUGAAAUGCGUAGAGAUGUGGAGGAACACCGAUGGCGAAGGCAGCCUUCUGGGCCAACACUGACGCUCAUGCACGAAAGCGUGGGGAGCAAACAGG